RNAcentral lists this ribosomal RNA (442 nucleotides) under uncultured bacterium. RNAcentral describes it as "partial 16S ribosomal RNA". It matches the Rfam family "Bacterial small subunit ribosomal RNA", at positions 338 to 795 of the family's 1533-position model. The record is from RNAcentral.
CCUUCGGGUGGCAGCAGUGGGGAAUAUUGGGCAAUGGGCGCAAGCCUGACCCAGCAACGCCGCGUGAAGGAAGAAGGCUUUCGGGUUGUAAACUUCUUUUGACAGGGAAGAGCAGAAGACGGUACCUGUCGAAUAAGCCACGGCUAACUACGUGCCAGCAGCCGCGGUAAUACGUAGGUGGCAAGCGUUGUCCGGAUUUACUGGGUGUAAAGGGCGUGUAGCCGGGCUGACAAGUCAGAUGUGAAAUCCGGGGGCUCAACCCCCGAACUGCAUUUGAAACUGUUGGUCUUGAGUGUCGGAGAGGUAAUCGGAAUUCCUUGUGUAGCGGUGAAAUGCGUAGAUAUAAGGAAGAACACCAGUGGCGAAGGCGGAUUACUGGACGAUAACUGACGGUGAGGCGCGAAAGCGUGGGGAGCAAACAGGAUUAGAUACCCCAGUAGUC